GAUGAACGCUGGCGGCGUGCCUAAUACAUGCAAGUCGAGCGAACAGACGAGGAGCUUGCUCCUCUGACGUUAGCGGCGGACGGGUGAGUAACACGUGGAUAACCUACCUAUAAGACUGGGAUAACUUCGGGAAACCGGAGCUAAUACCGGAUAACAUGUUGAACCGCAUGGUUCAACAGUGAAAGACGGUCUUGCUGUCACUUAUAGAUGGAUCCGCGCCGCAUUAGCUAGUUGGUAAGGUAACGGCUUACCAAGGCAACGAUGCGUAGCCGACCUGAGAGGGUGAUCGGCCACACUGGAACUGAGACACGGUCCAGACUCCUACGGGAGGCAGCAGUAGGGAAUCUUCCGCAAUGGGCGAAAGCCUGACGGAGCAACGCCGCGUGAGUGAAGAAGGUCUUCGGAUCGUAAAACUCUGUUAUUAGGGAAGAACAAAUGUGUAAGUAACUAUGCACGUCUUGACGGUACCUAAUCAAAAAGCCACGGCUAACUACGUG
Molecule: ribosomal RNA, 497 nt
Filed under: uncultured bacterium
Lineage: Bacteria
Description: partial 16S ribosomal RNA
Rfam family: Bacterial small subunit ribosomal RNA
Source: RNAcentral